This 462-nucleotide ribosomal RNA is filed under the name uncultured Actinomycetes bacterium. RNAcentral's name for it is "bacterial SSU rRNA". It matches the Rfam family "Bacterial small subunit ribosomal RNA", at positions 1038 to 1500 of the family's 1533-position model. Lineage: Bacteria; Bacillati; Actinomycetota; Actinomycetes. The record is from RNAcentral.
GUGGUGCAUGGCUGUCGUCAGCUCGUGUCGUGAGAUGUUGGGUUAAGUCCCGCAACGAGCGCAACCCCCGUUCCAUGUUGCCAGCAUUAAGUUGGGGACUCAUGGGAGACUGCCGGUGACAAACCGGAGGAAGGUGGGGAUGACGUCAAGUCAUCAUGCCCCUUAUGUCCAGGGCUACACACGUGCUACAUUGGCGCAUACAAAGGGCAGCAAUACCGCGAGGUGGAGCAAAUCCCAUAAAGUGCGUCUCGGUUCGGAUUGGAGGCUGAAACUCGCCUCCAUGAAGGUGGAGUUGCUAGUAAUCGCAGAUCAGCAAUGCUGCGGUGAAUACGUUCCCGGGCCUUGUACACACCGCCCGUCACACCACGAAAGCGAGUAACACCCGAAGCCGGUGGCCUAACCGCAAGGAGGGAGCCGUCGAAGGUGGGACCCGUGAUUGGGGUGAAGUCGUAACAAGGUAAC